Non-coding RNA from Vicugna pacos (alpaca), 1553 nucleotides. Lineage: Eukaryota; Metazoa; Chordata; Mammalia; Artiodactyla; Camelidae. The record is from RefSeq and is a predicted model, not a curated record.
CAGAGUGCGCAGGCGCGGGCCCGCGGCAGGCCAGCUGCGGGCCGGGGGUUCCAGUGGACCGGAGGUGCUGGCUCCUGGGACGACUGCAUCGUUUCGGUCAGGUCGUGGCUUGCCACGCGAUGAGCGAGCUGCUCGGCGACCUUACCCCGGCUGCGUUAAGCUUUCAGACUUCGUCAUUCAUGAGUGAACUUGAACAACACCCGGACACACAGACGCCUCCUGGCAAGCCCGUGAGAAGAGGGACUGGACGCUACUUCUCCCAGCGAUGCUGGCUCCCGACCUCCUCGUUAAGGUUUUAUCCUCUCUCACUGACAGACAGAAAGGCAUAGUGGGCCUCGUCAGUGUGGAGGAGGGCCUCUGAAAACCGCUCAAGUGUCGCAGUAAGCCAUGCCAAGGUGCACCCACCUUUCUCUGUCCCUUCCUGGCCAGUCCUUGGAGAGACCAGGAAAUCCAGAAUUUCCUACAAGAACGCGGAAUCCUUUGGAAAUUUCAUCUUGAGUCAAGGAAGAAGAAUCACAUAGUGGCAAAGACAAUUUUCCAGGGUCUCCAGCCAAGGGCCAUAAAGAACUGGAAACAAUGUCCCCAGAUGCUGACAAGUUUGUGAGACCGGAAUAUUCAUGAGGCCAACAAGUGAACACUGGCCCGUCCUUAUGGAGAAGUCCUGCAGCAACCCUGGGCCAGAGCUGGGAGGAACACGUCCCCACAGGUGUUCUAUAAACGUGUCAUGCUGCCGCCCACCUUUCCCUUGGCAUAUGCGCUCCCUCUUUUUGAAGUAUUCAUCUCACUCUCUGGAGAAUUCCUGUUGCCCUUCCAAAACAGGGCUCAGGCAUCACUGUCUCGGGGACCCUGUCACUGGUCUUUUCAGGCAACCCUGGUUAGUGUCCAUUCCUUCUUUCUGCGCCCUGCAAAGAUCUCUACAGCAUUUGUGUUCUGUCACGUAGUAUCACUGUAACAUCUGUUUCUGUGAAAACUACUUUAACACAUUAUGAUAGUUUGCUUACCUCAUUCGUCAUUCCCUCCUGCCCCAUCCUUUCGCCCCUCAGUUCACUAUUCCUUUCUCUUGCACGAUUUCCAGUGCCGGCAGCAAUACCUGGCUUAGACCUGGUGUUAAACAAACAUUUACUGAGCAAACCAGUUUUUAAAAGAUUUUGAAUUUUCCCCCUUCUUUUAUUUUCCUUUGCAGCCUGAGAUUUUUAAAAACUAGAAAACCUUACGUGGGGAAAACAUGCUUAUAUUUCAUGAAACUGAUUCCUUUUUAAGACUUUGGCACAGGUGAUAGGUUCUUAAGAUUUCUCCUGUAGCACGCUAAAAAAACAUUCACAGCCUUGACUUGGAAGUGACUACCUAAUUAAACUCCUAAUCAAACUGUAUUUCUUCUAGUUAACAUGCUGUUCAGAACAUAGCAAGUAUAGUUAUAUAAUAAAUAUAAUUUCAAUGCAACAAAGAAAAAUAAUUCUGAAAACAAAAUUAGAAAUUGUGUAAAAAAUUUGGGAGAUGGUUAAAUGUAGUUUGGAAGUAACUAGAAAAAUAAAAGAGGAAGAGAACAGUUUUCU